GGGCCCUUAGCUCAGUCUGGUUAGAGCGCUCGGCUCAUAACGCGACCUGACCGUGUGAGGUCGUGUGAGACACCGAGUGGUCGAUGGUUCGAAUCCGUCAGGGCCCA
This is a transfer RNA of 107 nucleotides. It matches the Rfam family "tRNA". From Rfam's summary of the family: Transfer RNA (tRNA) molecules are approximately 80 nucleotides in length. Their secondary structure includes four short double-helical elements and three loops (D, anti-codon, and T loops). Further hydrogen bonds mediate the characteristic L-shaped molecular structure. tRNAs have two regions of fundamental functional importance: the anti-codon, which is responsible for specific mRNA codon recognition, and the 3' end, to which the tRNAs corresponding amino acid is attached (by aminoacyl-tRNA synthetases). tRNAs cope with the degeneracy of the genetic code in two manners: having more than one tRNA (with a specific anti-codon) for a particular amino acid; and 'wobble' base-pairing, i.e. permitting non-standard base-pairing at the 3rd anti-codon position. The record is from Rfam.